AUGGCUCACACCUGCAAUGCUCCACGACCUUUAGUUCGUCAAAUAUUCAAUUCUAAAUAUGAUAAUUACAGUUCGGCAGAUGAGGUUUCUCGCGUCUCGUAUGCUGACUUACCAGACCAAAUCUCAUCGAGCUCUUCCACAUUCUGUGCAAGCAUGUACUCAUCAUCGUCGACGAACUCCAAAUUAUGCCGGCAAACCAGCGGUUUGCCUUUCUUGACUCAUCCUCCUAAAUGUGAGCAGCAACAAUUUUUAGCAGCGCAAUCAUCAUUCUCUGCUCUGUUAUUUGCUGCUCAUCCCAGCAAUGGUGGUCAAGGUGAUGAUGAACAUUCAUGUGAUCUCAAGGACUUCCUUAACCUAUGUGGAAAUGCUUCUAACACUAGCUUCCACCGAGGAGGCAAUGCCCUGGCUUUUAGUGAGCAGCUAGAGUUUUAG
Molecule: ribosomal RNA, 432 nt
Filed under: Triticum aestivum (bread wheat)
Lineage: Eukaryota; Viridiplantae; Streptophyta; Magnoliopsida; Poales; Poaceae
Description: partial small subunit ribosomal RNA
Source: RNAcentral